RNAcentral lists this ribosomal RNA (481 nucleotides) under uncultured bacterium. Its description in RNAcentral is "partial 16S ribosomal RNA". It matches the Rfam family "Bacterial small subunit ribosomal RNA", at positions 30 to 507 of the family's 1533-position model. The record is from RNAcentral.
UUGCACGCUGGCGGCAUGCUUUACACAUGCAAGUCGAACGGUAACAGGCCGCAAGGUGCUGACGAGUGGCGAACGGGUGAGUAAUGCAUCGGAACGUGCCCAGUCGUGGGGGAUAACUACUCGAAAGAGUAGCUAAUACCGCAUACGAUCUAUGGAUGAAAGCGGGGGACCGUAAGGCCUCGCGCGAUUGGAGCGGCCGAUGUCAGAUUAGGUAGUUGGUGGGGUAAAGGCUCACCAAGCCAACGAUCUGUAGCUGGUCUGAGAGGACGACCAGCCACACUGGGACUGAGACACGGCCCAGACUCCUACGGGAGGCAGCAGUGGGGAAUUUUGGACAAUGGGCGCAAGCCUGAUCCAGCAAUGCCGCGUGCAGGAAGAAGGCCUUCGGGUUGUAAACUGCUUUUGCACGGAACGAAACGGCUCUGGUUAAUACCCGGGGCUAAUGACGGUACCGUAAGAAUAAGCACCGGCUAACUACGUG